GCUCAGAUUGAACGCUGGCGGCAUGCCUUACACAUGCAAGUCGAACGGCAGCACGGGAGUAAUCCUGGUGGCGAGUGGCGAACGGGUGAGUAAUACAUCGGAACGUGUCCUGUAGUGGGGGAUAGCCCGGCGAAAGCCGGAUUAAUACCGCAUACGCUCUACGGAGGAAAGGGGGGGAUCUUAGGACCUCUCGCUACAGGGGCGGCCGAUGGCAGAUUAGCUAGUUGGUGGGGUAAAGGCCUACCAAGGCGACGAUCUGUAGCUGGUCUGAGAGGACGACCAGCCACACUGGGACUGAGACACGGCCCAGACUCCUACGGGAGGCAGCAGUGGGGAAUUUUU
This 342-nucleotide ribosomal RNA is filed under the name Burkholderia sp. Its description in RNAcentral is "bacterial SSU rRNA". It matches the Rfam family "Bacterial small subunit ribosomal RNA", at positions 22 to 366 of the family's 1533-position model. Lineage: Bacteria; Pseudomonadati; Pseudomonadota; Betaproteobacteria; Burkholderiales; Burkholderiaceae. The record is from RNAcentral.